Molecule: ribosomal RNA, 253 nt
Filed under: uncultured bacterium
Lineage: Bacteria
Description: partial 16S ribosomal RNA
Rfam family: Bacterial small subunit ribosomal RNA
Source: RNAcentral
GACAGAGGUGCCAAGCGUUAGGCGGAAUCACUGGGCUUAAAGCGUGUGUAGGCGGAUCGUUAAGUACCUUGUGAAAUCCCACGGCUCAACCGUGGAACUGCUGGGUAUACUGGCGAUCUUGAGCCACCUAGGGGCGAGCGGAACAAACGGUGGAGCGGUGAAAUGCGUAGAUAUCGUUUGGAACGCCAACGGUGAAAACAGCUCGCUGGGGGUGUGCUGACGCUGAGACACGAAAGCGUGGGGAGCAAACAGG